CGGAGUAUAGCAUAUAUAAUGCUUUUUACUUACACUAAAAAUAAAGUUGAUACUUACGCCGC
RNAcentral lists this transfer RNA (62 nucleotides) under Amynthas aspergillum. RNAcentral describes it as "Amynthas aspergillus tRNA-Val". The record is from RNAcentral. Lineage: Eukaryota; Metazoa; Annelida; Clitellata; Crassiclitellata; Megascolecidae.